This 775-nucleotide ribosomal RNA is filed under the name uncultured Neocallimastigales. RNAcentral describes it as "partial large subunit ribosomal RNA". It matches the Rfam family "Eukaryotic large subunit ribosomal RNA", at positions 24 to 637 of the family's 3401-position model. Lineage: Eukaryota; Fungi; Neocallimastigomycota; Neocallimastigomycetes; Neocallimastigales. The record is from RNAcentral.
GUAGUCUCGCACAGAUGCAUAUCAAUAAGCGGAGGAAAAGAAACUAACAAGGAUUCCCCUAGUAACGGCGAGUGAAGCGGGAAGAGCUCAAAUUUGAAAUCUUAAAGGGUUUCCCUUUACGAAUUGUAGUUUAAAGAAGUGUUCUCUGUUGAGGUUUUGGUAAAAGUUCUUUGGAAUAGGACAUCAUAGAGGGUGAGGAAUCCCGUAUUUGACCUUUACUUUCAACUUUGUGAUACACUUUCAAAGAGUCGGAUUGUUUGGGAAUGCAGUCCAAAAUGGGUGGUAAAUUUCAUCUAAAGCUAAAUAUUGGCGAGAGACCGAUAGCGAACAAGUACCGUGAGGGAAAGAUGAAAAGAACUUUGAAAAGAGAGUUAAACAGUACGUGAAAUUGUCAAAAGGGAAGCGUUUGACACCAGUGUUGUUUUUCUGAAAAUCAAUUAAAGAACUGUUUAUGCUAAGUUGUUUAGACUUUAUCAGCUAACUGUUUAGUUUUGAGCUUUUCUUUAAUGCACUUUUCAGUUAACAAGUCAACAUCAAUUUCUUUUGCUGUAAAAAAGCUUGAGGAAGGUGGCUUGAGAUUCGUCUUAAGUGUUUAUAGCCUCUUGCCUAUGCAGUCGGAGAGAUUGAGGUCUGCAGCGUAGAUCCUUCGGGGCUAAAUGCAUUUGUGCUAAGUUAUAGCAUUUCAUAGACAACUUGUUGACUAUGAUUUGUCUUGUAGCUUACUCGCUUAUGUUAUUUUACCUACGCUUAGGAUGUUGACAGCAGUAUAGACUGU